Molecule: ribosomal RNA, 465 nt
Filed under: uncultured bacterium
Lineage: Bacteria
Description: partial 16S ribosomal RNA
Rfam family: Bacterial small subunit ribosomal RNA
Source: RNAcentral
GACGAACGCUGGCGGCGUGCUUAACACAUGCAAGUCGAACGGAAAGGCCCCUUUGGGGGUACUCGAGUGGCGAACGGGUGAGUAACACGUGAGUAACCUUCCCUUGACUUCGGGAUAACUUCAGGAAACUGGGGCUAAUACCGGAUAGGAAUCCUUGCUGCAUGGUGGGGGUUGGAAAGCUUCGGCGGUUUUGGAUGGACUCGCGGCUUAUCAGCUUGUUGGUGGGGUAGUGGCUUACCAAGGCUUUGACGGGGAGCCGGCCCGAGAGGGCGACCGGCCACAUUGGGACUGAGAUACGGCCCAGACUCCUACGGGAGGCAGCAGUGGGGAAUAUUGCACAAGGGGCGGAAGCCGGAUGCAGCAACGCCGCGGGCGGGAUGACGGCCUUCGGGUUGUAAACCGCUUUCAGCAGGGGCGAAGCUUGUGGUGACGGUACCUGCAGAAGAAGCACCGGCUAACUACGUG